This is a long non-coding RNA of Pogonomyrmex barbatus (red harvester ant), 1088 nucleotides long. NCBI's taxonomy places the organism in Eukaryota, Metazoa, Arthropoda, Insecta, Hymenoptera, Formicidae. The record is from RefSeq and is a predicted model, not a curated record.
GUGAAGGGGGGAGAAGUGUCCGCGCCAUUGGUGCGAGCGCGAGCGAAACGGAGCGAGGGUCGGAGCUCCCCACUCCCGCGACGGCGCGGCGCUUCGUGUGUAGUCGCAGUCGCCUUUCACGGGUACGGUCGGGUUGGUCGGUCGGUCGGUCGGUCGGUCGGUCGUUCGGUCGGUCGGUCGCCCGAGCGGGGCUUGGAACAACAUACACGUUCGCGAACGCGUUUUUCGUCCGAGUCGCUCCGGGAAUUACGUCGUCGUCGCAUCGGUGGAGUCCCUCUCGGUAAGGGCCGGCUGCGACACGCAACGCAACGAGACACGCACGCAUACACGCAUACACGCGCACGCGGCGGACAGACGUAUACCUCUCUCUGUCCUCAUACUUCGUCGCGAGAGCGCCGCGCGGUCCGGACGCGCACUCGACUCCACGGUGACAGGUCGCGUGGAGCAGAAGUGCGAGAGUGUGCGUCUCCCAGAGAGGACGCCGUUAUCCUUCCUCGCGUCUGUCACGUUAGGAAAAAACAAAUCGAGAGAGGUAGACGAGCGAGCGGGCGGGCGCGCGCGCUCGUUGGGAUUAUUUAAAAACGCGCACCGCCCUGAAGCGGGUUGCCGCGUCCGUUCGAAGUACAACACGCCUCUGCCGCGUUAAGUUUUGCCGGCUGGUGCGCGCGCGUAGCCGCCGCGCGAGUCCCUGGCAUGGAGUGAUCUGCUUGCCGCCGUGACUCAUCCCACGCAGCACAAUCGGCCCAGGAUUCUUCGAGGAUGACGGGCAGACACGCGGAACGAAUUGUCGCCGCUCGCGAGGAAUGCGGAAGUCGAGGAUGCCUGAGACGACCGAUGGGGUAAGUACAACGAACUGUUCGAAGAAUUCUUACACUAAAUGUAAUCUCGGUUUAAGCCGCUGCGAGAGAAUCCCAAGCCUUCAAGGGCCGAGCGAUAAUGCCUAAAACCAAAGAAUUAAGCUGGCAUGUCUGUCCUGACACAUCUCACGUCCUCUUAAAAGCAGAACAAGAAUAUAAGGUUGAUCUAAAGCUAUUUAUAAUUAUAACUUCGGCUCGAUUUUUGCUUCUUUUUUUGUAUAAUUCUAAAAU